Synchiropus splendidus (mandarinfish) is the source of this 882-nucleotide long non-coding RNA. RefSeq lists it as uncharacterized. The record is from RefSeq and is a predicted model, not a curated record. The transcript has 3 exons. NCBI's taxonomy places the organism in Eukaryota, Metazoa, Chordata, Actinopteri, Syngnathiformes, Callionymidae.
GUUCCCCUCUGUUCACCCCUCUGUUCAGCCCUCUGUGUCCCUCUGUGCUCCUCUCCCCUCUUCUUCUGCCGCUUCCUCUGGAUACUUCACCUCUUACAACCAACUACAACCAACUUCUCCGACGGUUCCUGCUCAAGUUCCUGCAAAGACUCUUGCUUCUCCUCCACCCUUGAAGCCGUGCCAGCGUUCCACUCGCUGCCCAUCCAAGUGUGAGAGUGAUCGAGAACUUCUCCAAAGUUGCACGUCGCCCUCGUCCUACAGCGGUCUGCCAAGCCAGAGCCUCCUUCAGGAACGUCCCAGUCACACCACGUGAUCACAGCCGGCGGCCGUGACGAGCACGCGAGUCCAACUUCCAACAACCUUCCGCUACCUGGAGUGUGUCAUUAAGGCGACCACUCUAGAAGGUUGUUCAGACCGGUGAAUCACCUGGCACGAGAGAAAGAUACGCCUUCGGUCCUACGCCGCUCUCUGCCAGCUACGAUCACCCCGUCUGCGACGAAAGAUCCACGGCGGUCCGGAGGACGAUCCGAGAGUGCCAUCGACGCCUGAAGCUGCGGGUCCUCAUCACCUCCAAGUCACUACGCUGAGAACCAGGACGCCUCCUUCCAAAGCCGCCUGCCUCCUCCCUCACCUCCUAAUCGACCUUCUGCAUCUACUCAUCACCCUCUCAUCCAUCCAUCCAUCCCAUUCAUCCCUCCAUUCAUCGCCAAACUUAAUGGCCGCGCAGCUGGAGCUUGUUUGCUGAUUAAGCUGCGAGGAUUUCUACACCCGGGUUCCGGUCUGCGUGGCCAGAUCAUUGCCUUGCAUCCAAUGGUUUUACCCUGCCCUCAUUCGUGUUUCCUCACUCCGCGCUUGGUGUGACGUCCUUGGUUAUCGUUCUUG